CCCGCACAAGCGGUGGAGCAUGUGGUUUAAUCGAAGCAACGCGAAGAACCUUACCAGGUCUUGACAUCCCGAUGCUAUUUCUAGAGAUAGAAAGUUACUUCGGUACAUCGGUGACAGGUGGUGCAUGGUUGUCGUCAGCUCGUGUCGUGAGAUGUUGGGUUAAGUCCCGCAACGAGCGCAACCCCUAUUGUUAGUUGCCAUCAUUCAGUUGGGCACUCUAGCGAGACUGCCGGUAAUAAACCGGAGGAAGGUGGGGAUGACGUCAAAUCAUCAUGCCCCUUAUGACCUGGGCUACACACGUGCUACAAUGGUUGGUACAACGAGUUGCGAGUCGGUGACGGCGAGCUAAUCUCUUAAAGCCAAUCUCAGUUCGGAUUGUAGGCUGCAACUCGCCUACAUGAAGUCGGAAUCGCUAGUAAUCGCGGAUCAGCACGCCGCGGUGAAUACGUUCCCGGGCCUU
RNAcentral lists this ribosomal RNA (460 nucleotides) under uncultured Streptococcus sp. RNAcentral describes it as "bacterial SSU rRNA". It matches the Rfam family "Bacterial small subunit ribosomal RNA", at positions 920 to 1382 of the family's 1533-position model. The record is from RNAcentral. Lineage: Bacteria; Bacillati; Bacillota; Bacilli; Lactobacillales; Streptococcaceae.